CUAAACCCUAAACCCUAAACCCUAAACCCUAAACCCUAAACCCUAAACCCUAAACCCUAAACCCUAAACCCUAAACCCUAAACCCUAAACCCUGGCAUUAAUCAAAAAAUGUAAUUUACAUUAACCGGGAUGUGUAAAAAAAAGGGAAAAAGAUUUGUUUAUAUACUAUUACAUAAGAAGGUAAUGUUUUGUGCCGUGUUCAUUUUUGCUUAUAUUACCAACUACACAUUUUUAUUUUUGCAAAACCAAAAAUUAAAUAAAAAAAUAAAAAUAAUAAUUUCUGGUAAACCGACAUGUGGGACCAUCAUAUGAUGGGUGAUAUACUGUACACUUUUUUGUAAUAUAUGGGGUAAAAGGGUCAUAAUGGAGGAUUAUGCAUGGUCGAAAACCCAAACUUUCCUUUUUUGGUAAAUAACGAAACGCACCAAAAACAGACUUUACCAAAUAAGGAAAGAAGGCCGAAAUCCUGCAGCCCAUACCCUGCAGCCCGAAAUCCUAAAGCCCCUAAAGGUCCUAAAAGCCCGAAGCCUGAAAGGUCUUUAAAACGCCCCAAGGCCCCAAGCCCCAAGGCCUUACACCAAAUAAAACUAAUAAAAGUAAGCCCCUGAAGGCCCUAAAGUCCGCAAAACCUGAAAGGCCGUUAAAAGGCCCUAAGCAUGAGCUAGGACUGUGUAAAGUCCACAUAAUUGGGAGUGACUUGGGCUUAUUCUUGGGCUUCUUCCUCUGCCCCAUAUGUAACUUACGUGAAGCCUAUAUGCAUCAAUUUAGAUUUGGGUUAAAUAUGGAUUGGGCUUAUUUGGAGCUUGGUAAGGCCCAUGACUGAUAUCUGGUUUUGAGUCGGCCGCGUAUUUACAUUUUCAUCUUGUUUGGACCCAUAUGAAGGUUUCAUAAACAAAGUAUUGAGAAAAGAGAGUACAAAACAGACAAUCAUACAGAGAAACAUUUAAAAAAUUAAAACAUUGAAAUACAAAAAUGUUAUCAUUGGUUUAGCAUUUAAACACAAUAAUACAGGAAACAUUGGCGGAAAAAAGAAAAAAACAUAUAAGAGAGUACAAAACUAGCCAGGUUAAAGAGUUAAAGAAAAUAACUAAACAACAAAAGAAAACAAAAUUGAGUUAAAAACACAAAGAAAAUUUUAUCUUAUAAAGGAAGAUACCUUGAAUAUUUAGUUUUGUUCUACAAAAUAUUACCCAAAAAAAAAUUACAAGAAUGGAAAGUUUAAUCAAAAGAAUAAAAUUUUUCCAAACAUGAUGAUCUCUGCACACAUGUGAAAUAAAAGGAAGCAGCAAUUGUGGAUAACAAAACAUGAACAACAGCGACCUUAAAUCAUGACAAUGAAAUUGAAACAAAAAAUAAAGAAAAUCAAUUCAAAAUCGUUAAAAAUAGAAUAACAAAACUAGCCAGGAUAACUAAACCCCUAAAACCCUAAGCCCUAAGCCCUAAGCCCUAAACCAUGGCAUUAAUCAGAAAAUGUAAUUUACAUUAACCGGGAUGUGUAAAAAAAGGGAAAAAGAUUUGUUUAUAUACUAUUACAUAAGAAGGUAAUAUUUUGUGCCGUAUUCAUUUUUGCUUAUAUUACCAACUACACAUUUUUAUUUUUGCAAAACCAAAUAUUAAAUAAAAAAAUAAAAAUAAUAAUUUCUGGUAAACCGACAUGGUGGGACCAGCAUAUGAUGGGUGAUAUACUGUACACUUUUUUUGUAAUAUAUAUGGGGUAAAAGGGUAAUAACGGAGGAUUACGCAUGGUCGAAAACCCAAACUUUCCUUUUUUGGUAAAAAACGAAACACACCAAAAACAGACUUUACCAAAUAAGGAAAGAAGGCCGAAAUCCUGCAGCCCAUACCCUGCAGCCCGAAAUCCUAAAGCCCCUAAAGGUCCUAAAAGCCCGAAGCCUGAAAGGUCUUUAAAACGCCCCAAGGCCCCAAGCCCCAAGGCCUUACACCAAAUAAAACUAAUAAAAGUAAGCCCCUGAAGGCCCUAAAGUCCGCAAAGCCUGAAAGGCCUUUAAAAGGCCCUAAGCAUGAGCUAGGACUGUGUAAAGUCCACAUAAUUGGGUGUGACUUGGGCUUAGUCUUGGGCUUCUUCCUCCCCAUAUGUAACUUACGUAAAGCCUAUAUGCAUCAAUUUAGAUUUGGGUUAAAUAUGGAUUGGGCUUGUUUGGAGCUUGGUAAGGCCUAUGACUGAUAUCUGAUUUUGAGUCGGCCUCGUAUUUAAAUUUUCAUCUUGUUUGGGCCCAUAUGAAGGUUUCAUAAACAAAGUAUUGAGAAAAGAGAGUACAAAAUAGACAAUCAUACAGAGAAACAUUUAAAAAAUUAAAACAUUGAAAUACAAAAAUGUUAUCAUUGGUUUAGCAUUUAAACACAAGAACAUAUAAGAGAGUACAAAACUAGCCAAGUUAAAGAGUUAAAGAAAAUAACUAAAUAACAAAAGAAAACAAAAUUGAGUUAAAAACACAAAGAAAAUUUUAUCUUAUAAAGGAAGAUACCUUGAAUAUUUAGUUUUGUUCUACAAAAUGUUACCCAAAAAAAAAUUACAAGAAUGGAAAGUUUAAUCAAAAGAAUAAAAUUUUUUCAAACAUGAUGAUCUCUGCACACAUGUGAAUUAAAAGAAAGCAGCAAUUGUGGAUAACAAAAUAUGAAAAACAGCGACCUUAAAUCAUGACGAUGAAAUUGAAACAAAAAAUAAAGAAAAUCAAUUCAAAAUCGUUAAAAAUAGAAUAACAAAACUAGCCAUGAUAACUAAACCCCUAAAACCCUAUACACAUGUUGAUAAAAAGAAAAGGAAGAUAAAAUUUUUUAAAAAAACAGCGGGUGUUCUCCAUAUAUUUUAUUUUUUAUUACGACAAAUAAAAAGGAAUAAUUUUGUGUGAUUUCUCCAAAUUUAUCUAUUUUUCAUUGCUCAAAAGAAAAAGCCCCUUAACCAAAGAAUAACUUAUCACCAAAAUAAAAAAUAAAAAAAAAGGAAACUUACAGCAUAAUAUUAUGCUCCACAAGUGAAGCUUUCCAUUUGUGCGCUAUUAACGAGACCGCAAUUUAACCUAGACCAGAAAAAAGGCUAACCAGUACUGGGCGUCACCUGAUCCGUUAAUAAAAUUCGGCCUAUUAAGCCCAAAUAUAUACUUUUAAAGCCCAGGUCCCUCUAUGUGUGGGCCGUUCCGGGGGGCCAUUUUCAAUGUACUUUGUAUAUCACAGUACGCUGUAUAGUAUCCUUUGUAUAUAAUAGUGUAUUACACUCCCUCUACAUUGAUUCCUUUUAAAAAAGAAGUGCAGAGAAAUAAAAAUAAUUAAAUGGUCUAUUUGAAAAAUUGUCAAUAGUUGUGGGGGGCUUCACAGAUAAAAAAAAAAUUGCGUGCUAAAAUGGGUCAUCGGCCGAGAGGUUGUGGGGGGCUUCAUAGAUAAAAAAUAAUUUGUGCGCUAAAAUAGGUCAUUGGCCGAGAAGUUGUUGGGUUAUAGAAGAUGGAAGGAGAACCGGUAUUAACUAAAUGGGCCCGCACGUUUUACCAAGUACACUUUUCAUUAAUGGGCGAGAUCAAAUCUAACUCCGAUUCGCCGACCACUUCCAGGCCCAAAUCUUAAACCCUAAACCCUAAAAUCCUAAAACCUAAACCCUAAACCCUAGCAUUCCUCGCUAAGGAUUUUUUUUUAUUAUUGGAUGCUUAGAGAUUUUAAGGUCAAAACUUUAUUGCUUUACAUUUCUAAUUAUUUUUUAAAGUUAAAAAUAAAUAAAUAAACGAAGCGAGGUUAUUUGCUACCGUUCUCUCAAAAAAAAAAAAAGGAAAACAAAAAUAUUAUGUCUUUUCUAAUAAGUAUCACACAUAUUAUUUUGGUAACAGAUAAUUUCAUAUAAAAUAUGCAUCACAUCAAUUGCAUUAAUCAGGAAAUGUAAUUAACCUUAACCGAGAUGUGUAAAAAAUAUGAAAAAAAAUAUGUUUAUGUACUAUUACAUAAGAAGGCAAUAUUUUGUGCCGUGUUCAUUUUUGCUUAUAUUACAAACUACAUAUUUUUAAUCUUACAAAAUCAAAAAAUAAAUAAAUAAAUAAAUAAAAUAAAAAUAAAAAUUUUUGUUAAACC
This 4071-nucleotide long non-coding RNA is filed under the name Ananas comosus (pineapple). Its description in RNAcentral is "long non-coding RNA (ACOM_LNC015777)". Lineage: Eukaryota; Viridiplantae; Streptophyta; Magnoliopsida; Poales; Bromeliaceae. The record is from RNAcentral.